This 253-nucleotide ribosomal RNA is filed under the name uncultured bacterium. Its description in RNAcentral is "partial 16S ribosomal RNA". It matches the Rfam family "Bacterial small subunit ribosomal RNA", at positions 524 to 776 of the family's 1533-position model. The record is from RNAcentral.
UACGUAGGGGGCAAGCGUUGUCCGGAUUUAUUGGGCGUAAAGAGCGUGUAGGCGGCUUGGUAGGUCCGCUGUGAAAACUCGAGGCUCAACCUCGAGAUGUCGGCGGAAACCACUUGGCUAGAGUCCGGAAGAGGAGAGUGGAAUUCCUGGUGUAGCGGUGAAAUGCGCAGAUAUCAGGAAGAACACCUAUGGCGAAGGCAGCUCUCUGGGACGGUACUGACGCUGAGACGCGGAAGCGUGGGGAGCGAACAGG